CUCAGUGAGGGUCAGUUGAAAAAGACUGAAAGCCAGAAGUCAGUGAGUUCGGGAGAUUGACAAGCUAGAGACUGCAGUCAGGCAGAAAGAAGGAUUCUGAGGAGUAGAAUCAAGAUUCAGAGGGAGCUGGAAGUGACAAAGGACAAGCUGCAAAAGCUCUUGGAACCAAGGAAGAAGAUAGGCCUCUAAGAAAACUAACCGGGCUAUUUUGGAAAAGACAAUAAAAGAUUGGAUUUUUAACUCCUAGCUGUAUUUGAGGUGAUUAUUACACUCAAUUGAAACUAAGGCUGUCUCCAGAAACCUACCCAAGAAACCUGCUCCUAGAAAGAGAACGAUCAUAUUAUAGAAAAGAAGAAAACACCACAGGAAUUGGAUAUUUUCACCUUUUCUCAAAGUUAAGAAGGCUCCAAGGGGUUCACCUUCAAAUGAUGGCCAACACUGGACACUGAUCCUGAGAAGAAAUACCCACUGGACGCUACUUCAAUCAAUUUCAGGCCUUAAGCUUGUCACCUCUCCAAGUGGGACAUUGUAAGGCAGGCUCAGCUCUAUGGCCACCCUGGCAGGAAGCAGGAUGAUUAAGAUGAUUGCCACACACCCAAAAGGAUGUGGACUCCAUUUGUUGAAGGGAAUGGACCCCAAUAAAAUAUUAUGUCCUUGGCUGUAAGCAAUAUCCGAGUGAGCUCCAGCUAGGAGCAAAUAAAAACUGUGGAAUUAUCUUGUACUGGCAUUAUUAUGUCUAGACAGAGCUAUUGUGUUCUGAUGCCUCAGUGACCAACAACUGCUACCCCUACAAUAAAAUACAGACUUUACACUUGACAAA
Antechinus flavipes (yellow-footed antechinus) is the source of this 820-nucleotide long non-coding RNA. RefSeq lists it as uncharacterized. Lineage: Eukaryota; Metazoa; Chordata; Mammalia; Dasyuromorphia; Dasyuridae. The transcript has 2 exons. The record is from RefSeq and is a predicted model, not a curated record.